CCUACGGAGGGCAGCAGUGAGGAAUAUUGGUCAAUGGGCGGAAGCCUGAACCAGCCAAGUAGCGUGCAGGAUGACGGCCCUACGGGUUGUAAACUGCUUUUAUACGGGAAUAACGCGCCUUACGUGUAGGGCUUUGCAUGUACCGUAUGAAUAAGGACCGGCUAAUUCCGUGCCAGCAGCCGCGGUAAUACGGAAGGUCCGGGCGUUAUCCGGAUUUAUUGGGUUUAAAGGGAGCGUAGGCCGCAUGUCAAGCGUGCUGUGAAAUGUCCGGGCUCAACCCGGGCCUUGCAGCGCGAACUGGCGUGCUUGAGUCCGCGGAAAGCAGGCGGAAUUCGUCGUGUAGCGGUGAAAUGCUUAGAUAUGGCGAAGAACCCCGAUUGCGAAGGCAGCUUGCUGCAGCGGAACUGACGCUGAUGCUCGAAAGCGCGGGUAUCGAACAGGAUUAGAUACCCGUGUAGUC
RNAcentral lists this ribosomal RNA (460 nucleotides) under uncultured bacterium. RNAcentral's name for it is "partial 16S ribosomal RNA". It matches the Rfam family "Bacterial small subunit ribosomal RNA", at positions 338 to 795 of the family's 1533-position model. The record is from RNAcentral.